UACGAACCGUGCGAACGUUGUUCGGAAUCACUGGGCUUAAAGGGCGCGUAGGCGGGCGUUUAAGUCCGGGGUGAAAGCCCCCAGCUCAACUGGGGAAGUGCCUUGGAAACUGGACGUCUCGAGGGAGGUAGGGGCCUGUGGAACUUCGGGUGGAGCGGUGAAAUGCGUUGAUAUCCGAAGGAACGCCGGUGGCGAAAGCGACAGGCUGGAUCUCUUCUGACGCUGAGGCGCGAAAGCCAGGGUAGCGAACGGG
RNAcentral lists this ribosomal RNA (253 nucleotides) under uncultured bacterium. RNAcentral describes it as "partial 16S ribosomal RNA". It matches the Rfam family "Bacterial small subunit ribosomal RNA", at positions 524 to 776 of the family's 1533-position model. The record is from RNAcentral.